Long non-coding RNA from Polyodon spathula (Mississippi paddlefish), 702 nucleotides. RefSeq lists it as uncharacterized. Lineage: Eukaryota; Metazoa; Chordata; Actinopteri; Acipenseriformes; Polyodontidae. The record is from RefSeq and is a predicted model, not a curated record. The transcript has 3 exons.
UAUAUGGACAGAUGAAAGCCGCCCGUCAUUAUUACUGCUUGUUUUGGAUCGGCAGGGAAGAAGUUAAAUUCCUCCCUGCCAGAAAUACAUGUGAGAGUGUGACUGGAGCCUUAAUUAGUCCCCCCUUCCAGGUGGAAUUUCCAGUUUUCCUGUUUUGAUGACUGCACCUUUUGACAACAGAUGGUGUCCAUUGUGUGAAGAUCUGCCAUGGGGGGAGUUACAGCACCAUGAACAGAAAGAGCAUCAUGCAAUGUGGAGGAGAUGAUGUCUGCCCUUACCUCCAUUACAAAACCACCUUGGUCUGCUGAUGUCAAACAUGCAGUGUACAUUUUACAUGAUAUGUAUUACCAGUCAUUUUUACAGUUGUUGCUAUGAGGUAAAAUGUAAAAAAAAAAUAAUAAUCUGUUUUGUAUACUAAACUACGUAAGAGCUAUAAUACUGUCUUCCAACUGCUGAAAGUAUUAGAGGAGUACUAUAUUUGAAAUAUAUUUGGGGCAUAUAAACAAGGUCUGUUAGCGUACAUUUCACAAAAGGAAAAAAAAUAAAUCAUUGAAGAAUGUGGUAAACAGUCAAGACUGGGACUUUGUUUCCUGAAAUGUUACAAAUCAUUCUAAAUGCCCAGGAUUCAAAUUAGUUACAUGUAUGCAAUAAAGUAAAAACACUGUGUAACAUUUAGUAUCAACGGUUAAAAAGCAUAGGCGU